UACAUGUGGGGCAAGCGUUGUUCGGAAUUACUGGGCGUAAAGCGCACGUAGGCGGCUUUGCAAGUUAGAGGUGAAAGCCCGGGGCUCAACUCCGGAAUUGCCUUUAAAACUGCAUCGCUAGAGUUGUGGAGGGGUAAGUGGAAUUCCGAGUGUAGAGGUGAAAUUCGUAGAUAUUCGGAAGAACACCAGUGGCGAAGGCGACUUACUGGACACAUACUGACGCUGAGGUGCGAAAGCGUGGGGAGCAAACAGG
RNAcentral lists this ribosomal RNA (253 nucleotides) under uncultured bacterium. RNAcentral's name for it is "partial 16S ribosomal RNA". It matches the Rfam family "Bacterial small subunit ribosomal RNA", at positions 524 to 776 of the family's 1533-position model. The record is from RNAcentral.